Long non-coding RNA from Juglans regia (Persian walnut), 268 nucleotides. RefSeq lists it as uncharacterized. The transcript has 3 exons. Lineage: Eukaryota; Viridiplantae; Streptophyta; Magnoliopsida; Fagales; Juglandaceae. The record is from RefSeq and is a predicted model, not a curated record.
CGACUUCUCAAGUUAUUUUUCUCCUUUGCAUUUGCUACAGUCCAAAUUAGAACUUCUGGGAUCAGAAAGUUCUUAAGACUGAGUUCGUAUAAGGUUAUGGACGAGGACAUGUCACAAUACCAUUUUGGAAUGGUGUUAAAAGAGACAAUGCUAAACCUGGGUCCUGCCUUUAUCAAAGUCACAAGAUUACCAAUAUACUAGUUACAUGCCUUUGCUUGCUGAUGCAGUUGGUCAAUCCCUUUCUACAAGGCCGGAUAUUAUUGGUCCU